GAUUGGACUUGCCCUGGUAAGGUUCUUUGUCAGGAUUGAGGUCCAUCAGACUUUCCCACUAUGAUAAAGCCAUUUGAAUUUAGAUCUGCAUGAAUUUUGUCCUGCUGUGGGCUUCUGAGAUCUGUGAUAUGUGAAUCUGUGCUCCACCAAACCUGUCCAUGAACUGGCGGACCGAGGUUGUUAAGAAGCAGAGAGAUGGUAGGGGUUAGCGUCUCAUGGGUCAUAGCCUCUGUCUAAUGACGUGCAUCACACUUGUAGGUAGGCUCUAACCAAGCAUUACUCUCUUCUCUAGGGUUUGGGAUCCAUAUCUUCUUCCAAUUAGUAUGCUUUUGUCCAUCAGAUUGACCACACAUCUUCUGCCAUCUGGUGGUCAGUCCAUGAGCUUACAAGAGGACGCUACACUGUUUGGAGACAGAGAGAGGCUGAGACGUCUGCCUUCUUUCACAUUUUGCUGCUACUUUCCUGAGGACGGAGUAAUGUCAUAUGAAGGAAAUUGAGAAGACUCCAAAAGAAUGUAAGCACUGUGCAGAAGUGAAGUGCUUCGAGCUUUGCAUUAGGUAAGCAGAAUUUCAGCGAGUCGAGAUCAGCAGAUUUGUGCGAUGUUCUGGUAAGCCACUUCCCUCCUGCAGCCCACUCAUUAAUUUUCGGAAGUCUGACAGAAUGGCUAAAAGGAUGAUCAAUUUCAAGUGUCACUCUUGGCUUGUUUUUAGCUUUCUGUAAAAGGAGUUCCUGACAAGUAGCCCUGUUAGUGCCCUCAAAAUGUCUCCUGUUAUUAAAUAUUGGGAAUGAGCUGAAAUAAUGAAACUAAGAUUUUUAUGUCACUAGAACUGUUGACUUAGAAGAUGAUGAGAUUAGGGUAUAUUAAUGACGUGUAGGUGGGCUUGAGCACUCAAACCCAGCAGGACUUUUAUUAAUAGAUUUUCCUGAAACGUGGGGGACGUCCUUGCUCUUGUUCCAAGUGAUUGUAUGACAUUGUUACCUCCUGGAAAUAGCUCCCAUUCUCCCUUCCUCUUUCUCAUCAUCUGUUGUAAUUCUAACGUGACAACUAAUAUGUGUGUGUGUACAGGUAUAACCUGGUGGUCUAUAUAAUGUUAC
This 1095-nucleotide long non-coding RNA is filed under the name Mus spicilegus (steppe mouse). Its description in RNAcentral is "lncRNA (ENSMSIG00000003179.1)". The record is from RNAcentral. Lineage: Eukaryota; Metazoa; Chordata; Mammalia; Rodentia; Muridae.